Molecule: ribosomal RNA, 253 nt
Filed under: uncultured bacterium
Lineage: Bacteria
Description: partial 16S ribosomal RNA
Rfam family: Bacterial small subunit ribosomal RNA
Source: RNAcentral
UACUGAGGGUGCAAGCGUUAUCCGGAUUCACUGGGUUUAAAGGGUGCGUAGGUGGGCAGGUAAGUCCGUGGUGAAAUCUCUGAGCUUAACUCAGAAACUGCCGUGGAUACUAUUUGUCUUGAAUAUUGUGGAGGUGAGCGGAAUAUGUCAUGUAGCGGUGAAAUGCUUAGAUAUGACAUAGAACACCAAUUGCGAAAGCAGCUCACCACACAAUUAUUGACGCUGAGGCACGAAAGCGUGGGGAUCAAACAGG